RNAcentral lists this unclassified non-coding RNA (806 nucleotides) under Hevea brasiliensis (rubber tree). Lineage: Eukaryota; Viridiplantae; Streptophyta; Magnoliopsida; Malpighiales; Euphorbiaceae. The record is from RNAcentral.
GGAGAACUCGAUUGAAAGUUUUGGACGAAGAAAUGUUAUAGAGCAAUUCAUCGGAAUCUGUACAGCGACGAGUGCUUACAACGCCGGCGGAAAUUUUCUGGUGGUUUCCUUAUCUCCAUUCUCGCGCACAGGCAUUGCUAAUUCGGCUACUCGUGUUCCACUUCCAUAGAAAGCAAGCUUCUACCGGCAAGGACUGCCGUGUAUUCGGCGAGAUGAGGAGCCUAAAAAAAUGCUCUGGUGAAGAUGUGGCGUAUCAUUUGCUAGUCACAGUAGUAGCAGCUGUAUUGUUGCAAGCAAUCGGAGCUUUUUCAGUUGCCACACCAAAUACUGGUUGCUAUGCUCUGGAUAACUCCAGCCAUAUUCAUGAUUUUAGUAGUUGGAUUGGACAACCAUUUGAGUAUGAGGGGAAGGGGAAGGAUGCUGACUUGGUGGUUCGAUUUUGCAAAGAUGUUGAGUCUAGAUCGCAAGCGGGAUAUGUGGACUAUGGCAGAUUUGAUAAACUCAACUUUUUUCGUGCUGGGUCAGGACAUGUCAGCUUCAUUCAGGAAUAUUUUAAUGGUGACCUGAUGAACUGUGAGCAGAGUUAUGAUAAGAUGGGCCGAACAGCUAAGGUCAAUAUUAUAUGUGGAAACUGCCCUCAUGGACAAUGCAAAGGCGGACUUGGAUGCAUCUGCAAUGUUGAAUAUGAGUCUGCUUGUAGAACUGUCGUCGAACUUGCCGUUCCAUGUGAGAAACCAGGUCUGCGCGUCUUUGAAGGUUUCACUGUUGGUUUUCAUCCACGGUCAUGGGAAAUUGUUUACAAUGGC